UAAUCGCCUUUGCUUCACGGUUCUGUUACGGUGUAGAGGGAAUUACUCAAAACUGUACGCCGUAGCAGAGUCGCUACGCCAGGGCGAGUA
This 90-nucleotide microRNA precursor is filed under the name Strigamia maritima. Its description in RNAcentral is "microRNA smr-mir-3930 precursor". Lineage: Eukaryota; Metazoa; Arthropoda; Chilopoda; Geophilomorpha; Linotaeniidae. The record is from miRBase by way of RNAcentral.